This is a transfer RNA of Kurthia sp. 11kri321, 71 nucleotides long. It matches the Rfam family "tRNA". From Rfam's summary of the family: Transfer RNA (tRNA) molecules are approximately 80 nucleotides in length. Their secondary structure includes four short double-helical elements and three loops (D, anti-codon, and T loops). NCBI's taxonomy places the organism in Bacteria, Bacillati, Bacillota, Bacilli, Caryophanales, Caryophanaceae. The record is from Rfam.
GGCGGCAUAGCCAAGUGGUAAGGCACAGGUCUGCAACACCUUUAUCACCGGUUCAAAUCCGGUUGCCGCCU